UUUAAUUUGUUACACUGCAGUUAUCACAUGCAAGAUGCCCCCUAACAUCAAAAUCAUGAUUCUUCGUUCGACAUGAUGAUGAAUGACGAAAAUAUACACAAGAAUGCGUGUCAUCGGGGUGGUGAUUUCACUAAUUCAGGAGUUACCAUGCUUUUUGGUUUCGGAGGAUUUCUUCAAAUGACACAUUUCCUUUGUCCAAAACUUGUGAGUUACUUCAAAAGUCAUGUCAAUCCCAUGAUCCCCCCAUCAAAGAGGAUCUCAGGUUCAACCAUUGGUACCAACCUAUUGUCCUGCAAAAUAAUGGUUGCUUUGUCAGCAAGCACCAACACCUCGAAAUGACUUAAUGCACAUUGUGACUGUGAUAUACUUACCUUAAACUGGGAGAAGGCAGCAUUGCGUGCUAUACCCCACGCUGCUUCCUUUAAUAGCCAAUGCAGAUGGGGCCAUUGGAAAUUAGAACAGGUGCUCACUUGAGGACACAAGCAGAGGCCAUUUUCUCUCAAAAAGUGUGAUAUGAUAUGAACAUUAACUCUUGUGUAUUUUGGACGUUGUUAUUUUGUUGUUUUUCUCUGUCUUCUACUUUUUAUUUCCUGCCAGUUCAUUAUAUUUAUAGUGGCAAAUUUUUGCA
Long non-coding RNA from Glycine soja, 628 nucleotides. RefSeq lists it as uncharacterized. The record is from RefSeq and is a predicted model, not a curated record. NCBI's taxonomy places the organism in Eukaryota, Viridiplantae, Streptophyta, Magnoliopsida, Fabales, Fabaceae. The transcript is spliced from 2 exons.